UAUGUGAUCGUCUCUCGCAUAUCAAUAAGCGGAGGAAAAGAAACUAACAAGGAUUCCCCUAGUAACGGCGAGUGAAGCGGGAAGAGCUCAAAUUUGAAAUCUUAAAGGGUUUCCCUUUACGAAUUGUAGUUUAAAGAAGUGUUUUCUGUUGAGGUUUUGGUAAAAGUUCUUUGGAAUAGGACAUCAUAGAGGGUGAGAAUCCCGUAUUUGACCUUUACUUUCAACUUUGUGAUGCACUUUCAAAGAGUCGGAUUGUUUGGGAAUGCAGUCCAAAAUGGGUGGUAAAUUUCAUCUAAAGCUAAAUAUUGGCGAGAGACCGAUAGCGAACAAGUACCGUGAGGGAAAGAUGAAAAGAACUUUGAAAAGAGAGUUAAACAGUACGUGAAAUUGUCAAAAGGGAAGCGUUCGACACCAGUGUUGUUUUUCUGAAAAUCAAUUAAAGAACUGUUUAUGCUAAGUUGUUUAGACUUUAUCAGCUAUACUGUUUAGUUUUGAGCUUUUCUUUAAUGCACUUUUCAGUUAACAAGUCAACAUCAAUUUCUUUUGCUGUAAAAAAGCUUGAGGAAGGUGGCUUGAGAUUCGUCUUAAGUGUUUAUAGCCUCUUGCCUAUGCAGUCGGAGAGAUUGAGGUCUGCAGCGUAGAUCCUUCGGGGCUAAAUGUAUUUGUGCUAAGUUAUAGCAUUUUAUAGACAACUUGUUGACUAUGAUUUGUCUUGUAGCUUACUCGCUUAUGUUAUUUUACCUACGCUUAGGAUGUUGAUCUACAGAGCGAGAGU
This 775-nucleotide ribosomal RNA is filed under the name uncultured Neocallimastigales. RNAcentral's name for it is "partial large subunit ribosomal RNA". It matches the Rfam family "Eukaryotic large subunit ribosomal RNA", at positions 24 to 635 of the family's 3401-position model. Lineage: Eukaryota; Fungi; Neocallimastigomycota; Neocallimastigomycetes; Neocallimastigales. The record is from RNAcentral.